This 212-nucleotide ribosomal RNA is filed under the name Hemiselmis tepida. Its description in RNAcentral is "partial Bacterial small subunit ribosomal RNA". It matches the Rfam family "Bacterial small subunit ribosomal RNA", at positions 343 to 552 of the family's 1533-position model. The record is from RNAcentral. Lineage: Eukaryota; Cryptophyceae; Cryptomonadales; Hemiselmidaceae.
GGGAGGCAGCAGUGAGGAAUCUUGCGCAAUGGGCGAAAGCCUGACGCAGCCACGCCGCGUGCCGGAUGAAGGCCCUAUGGGUUGUAAACGGCUUUUAAGCAGGAAGAACGACCGGAUUUCGAUCUGGUGUGACGGUACUGCUUGAAUAAGCACCGGCUAACUCCGUGCCAGCAGCCGCGGUAAUACGGAGGGGGCUAGCGUUGUUCGGAAUU